UACGUAGGGUGCGAGCGUUGUCCGGAAUUAUUGGGCGUAAAGGGCUCGUAGGCGGUUUGUCGCGUCGGGAGUGAAAUCAUCUGGCUUAACUGGGUGCUUGCUUUCGAUACGGGCAGACUAGAGGUAUGCAGGGGAGAACGGAAUUCCUGGUGUAGCGGUGAAAUGCGCAGAUAUCAGGAGGAACACCGGUGGCGAAGGCGGUUCUCUGGGCCGUAACUGACGCUGAGGAGCGAAAGCGUGGGGAGCGAACAGG
RNAcentral lists this ribosomal RNA (253 nucleotides) under uncultured bacterium. RNAcentral's name for it is "partial 16S ribosomal RNA". It matches the Rfam family "Bacterial small subunit ribosomal RNA", at positions 524 to 776 of the family's 1533-position model. The record is from RNAcentral.